Molecule: non-coding RNA, 57 nt
Filed under: unclassified sequences
Description: S15-Flavobacteria ribosomal protein leader
Rfam family: S15-Flavobacteria ribosomal protein leader
Source: RNAcentral
UAUAUUUGCGCCGCUAAUAUUUGCAUACAUAAUAAUCAUUAAAUUAAUAUUGGAAUG